AAUAUCUUCUCCGUGCCUGACACUGUAUACAAAGGGAGACCUGCUGGCAGCACUCGGAUAUUUUUGGUGAACUCCGCUCAGGUGUGCUGAAGACGUAAAUUGCCAUUAGAACACUCCCAGGGGAUUCAGAUCCUGGCAAUCAGUUUUUGCUUUUGGCUCCUCCUCUGCAAUAAGGGCUUGAAACGCUCAAGACACCAACACACACCAACUUGGACUUCAGGGCUGGAAACACAGGAGCCCUCCCUCUGAUCAGCUCCUGUCCUGCUCCAACAGCACCAAGAAUGGGCCGAGGUGAGAACAUGGGACACCUGACUCAAGCCAGUCACAGGCAGAAGACGCAACAGGAGCCUCUGGACGUAGAUCCUUUGUUUAUCCGCUUUCUCCGGACAUUCAAAGAAAUCCUCAAAUUUGUUCUCUUCAGCUACACGGUGCUGUUUGGUGCUUUGCUCCUUGCAAGAUGGACCACUUAUUUUAUGGUGGGAAAGUAAAAUGAGAACAACCACUAACGAAUGAGCCUGUUCUUGGACUCAGCGCUCACAGGCAGACCUUGCUGGGAUUUGUGGUCUAUGCACUUCCUAUAAAACAACAAAAACAGCUGGAGUUAUCGUGUUUCUUCUUUUUUGAUUUGCAUUCUGCAAUAGAGCUCAUGGCUUUUGUACUUUUUUUUUUCUAAAUUAAACUAAACAGGGUGUUUAGAGCAACUCUACAGUGAAACUCAUUUUAAACAUCCCAUGUGUUUGGUGAAAGUGUGUUUAAAUGUGCAAUUUAGGAUCUGUAUGCUGCAAAAUAGACGUUUGUAUGGUUGUGUAGCAUACAGUAAAGCAUUGUAUAUUUGUAACGGAUUAAAAACUGUUUUUUUCUUUAGAAGUGCA
Long non-coding RNA from Stegastes partitus (bicolor damselfish), 872 nucleotides. RefSeq lists it as uncharacterized. Lineage: Eukaryota; Metazoa; Chordata; Actinopteri; Pomacentridae. The record is from RefSeq and is a predicted model, not a curated record. The transcript has 3 exons.